RNAcentral lists this long non-coding RNA (437 nucleotides) under Ananas comosus (pineapple). RNAcentral's name for it is "long non-coding RNA (ACOM_LNC008665)". The record is from RNAcentral. Lineage: Eukaryota; Viridiplantae; Streptophyta; Magnoliopsida; Poales; Bromeliaceae.
UCAAAUUCUCGACAGAUAUGGUUGACAAUUGUUGUCUCUAAGGGGGGUUAUUUGCUUGUAUGUAGUUGCGGUUAUAAGUAUAUACAGAUUUAAAUAGGAUAUAUGGUUUAAUACAUUUGAAUUCGAUUAUUGCAGUUGAAACUACAAAAGUAGAUAGAACUAUACAUUGCAACAGUUGAAACUAUGCCGAAAUUGAACGCAAUUUCAACCAUGGCAGUCAGAGAGAAUAGCUGAAUAAAAGAUAUGAUUACCUCUCUAAUUACAUUUUAAACAAGAUAACACAAACUUUCUUCCACACUGGGAUACCUCCACACGUCAUAUAUGAAAUGAUGAAAUUUGCAUACAUAUCCUACAACUAAAUGCAUUUAAACAAAUUAUUUAUUACCACGCUACUUUUUAUAAUAUUUAAUCAAAUAAAAUGCAUAUAAUUAUGGGGA